GAUGAACGCUAGCGGCAGGCCUAACACAUGCAAGUCGAGGGGCAGCACAUAAAGUGGUUUACUACUUUUGGUGGCGACCGGCGGACGGGUGCGUAACGCGUAUGCAACCUGCCUCCAACAGGGGGAUAACGGAGAGAAAUUUCCACUAAUACCCCCUAAUAUCAGAAUCGGCAUCGGUUUUGGUUGAAAACUCCGGUGGUUGGAGAUGGGCAUGCGUUGUAUUAGAUAGUUGGUGAGGUAACGGCUCACCAAGUCAACGAUACAUAGGGGGACUGAGAGGUUAGCCCCCCACACUGGUACUGAGACACGGGCCAGACUCCUACGGGAGGCAGCGGUGAGGAAUAUUGGUCAAUGGGGGCAACCCUGAACCAGCCAUGCCGCGUGCAGGAAGACGGCUCUAUGAGUUGUAAACUACUUUUACAAGGGGAUAAAUCGGUGUACGUGUACACCGUUGAAGGUACCUUGGGAAUAAGGAUCGGCUAACUCCGUGCCAGCAGCCGCCGUAA
RNAcentral lists this ribosomal RNA (506 nucleotides) under uncultured bacterium. RNAcentral describes it as "partial 16S ribosomal RNA". It matches the Rfam family "Bacterial small subunit ribosomal RNA", at positions 28 to 523 of the family's 1533-position model. The record is from RNAcentral.